UACGUAGGGUCCAAGCGUUGUCCGGAAUUAUUGGGCGUAAAGAGCUCGUAGGCGGUCCGUUAAGUCGGAAGUGAAAUCUCAAGGCUCAACCUUGAAAUCGCUUUCGAUACUGGCGGACUUGAGGCAGGUAGGGGAAGGUGGAAUUCCUGGUGUAGCGGUGAAAUGCGCAGAUAUCAGGAGGAACACCGGUGGCGAAGGCGGGUCUCUGGGCCGAUACUGACGCUGAGGAGCGAAAGCGUGGGGAGCGAACAGG
RNAcentral lists this ribosomal RNA (253 nucleotides) under uncultured bacterium. Its description in RNAcentral is "partial 16S ribosomal RNA". It matches the Rfam family "Bacterial small subunit ribosomal RNA", at positions 524 to 776 of the family's 1533-position model. The record is from RNAcentral.